UACACGUUCACUUUCACUUCACCUACACGUCACUUCACUUGUUUUUACCUAUUACCGUUGUCACCUAAAGUGAAGUGAUGAAAAUGAACACCGUGAAGUGAGAGUGACAGUGAGGUGAUGUUCGGAAUAACCAUGGCGUGUUAUUCAUAAUUAUCUGCUUCUGUCGAUUUCUUUUUUAGCGGAAACUUUGUUUUUUUUAUUGAAUUGUGCUCUGAUACCGACAGUGAAGAGGAUUAUUUGGUGAAAGUAAAAGUUCUUAUUUAUUUUACUUUAGAGCAAUUUCUUCCUAGCGCAUCGUCAAGCUGCCCAGAAUGUACGGAGGAACCGGUGCAAAUCCGUUGUUCUGAACUCUGGUGGGUUUUUAAGCUGGUGGGGCUCCAAACAAAGUAUCAGCAUGAUUAUCCACGUUUCCAAUCGACCACCUACUACGACAAUCAAUGGGGAUGAACAAACCCAGUGCAGCGGAACUUUUUGGCGUUAGCAGGAACCACUAAGUCGGGCAUUAAGAAAUCCGACAUGUAUGUGGAUCUCGAAGGGUAGCAACGGUAUGGUAAAUUUGAACGCUAUGUCAACCAAGCACCGGGGUAUGGUGGAUGAUUACGUGUCCGUUUCCAGCGUACUAUACAAGGUAGCAAUGGUCGUUCCCCCGAAGGAUGCAAUAAAGAUAGUACCAGCUCAAAAGGUGGUACCGAGCGUUAAUUCGACGAAAGCCUUUCCCGCACUGUACGAAUCCGGUGGCAAGCCGGAUGGUCCCGUUAAACCUGCCCAGUGGAUUGUCGCUAUUAAGGUGAAUUCGUCUUCGCUCUCACUUGGAGGUGGUGGCUCAGAUGCCACUGGUGGAACACGGACAGUUUCGUCGAAAAAGAAACUCCGGCCUCCAACCUAAAGGAGGAAGGCAACUUUGUGAACUUGAAAGCUCCAACUGGAAAGAAAUCUGGCAGGGUGAGGAUAGCAGUGGCAACAACAAAGACAAGAACGACAGUAAUACUAGUGUCAGCAGCACGAUGUACCAGAAAAGAUGACUGGCUGUGAUAUGAAAAAAUUGUUAUACUUCCAGCUUUCUUAAAUGGCUAAUAUUUAAACGUGUAUGUCUUCAAUAAAAUAAUCAAGGAAGUAAAUAGUAAUGUU
Molecule: long non-coding RNA, 1128 nt
Organism: Topomyia yanbarensis
Lineage: Eukaryota; Metazoa; Arthropoda; Insecta; Diptera; Culicidae
Exons: 3
Source: RefSeq, a predicted model, not a curated record